UGGGGAAUAUUGGGCAAUGGGCGCAAGCCUGACCCAGCCAUGCCGCGUGAGUGACGACGGCCUUAGGGUUGUAAAGCUCUUUUGGCGGGGACGCGGUACCCGCAGAAUAAGCCCCGGCUAACUUCGUGCCAGCAGCCGCGGUAAUACGAAGGGGGCUAGCGUUGUUCGGAAUCACUGGGCGUAAAGCGCACGUAGGCGGACUUUCAAGUCAGGGGUGAAAUCCCGGGGCUCAACCUCGGAACUGCCUUUGAUACUGUUGGUCUCGAGUCCGAUAGAGGUGGGUGGAAUUCCUAGUGUAGAGGUGAAAUUCGUAGAUAUUAGGAAGAACACCGGUGGCGAAGGCGGCCCACUGGAUCGGUACUGACGCUGAGGUGCGAAAGCGUGGGGAGCAAACAGGAUUAGAUACCCUUGUAGU
This 415-nucleotide ribosomal RNA is filed under the name uncultured bacterium. Its description in RNAcentral is "bacterial SSU rRNA". It matches the Rfam family "Bacterial small subunit ribosomal RNA", at positions 355 to 794 of the family's 1533-position model. The record is from RNAcentral.